This 460-nucleotide ribosomal RNA is filed under the name uncultured bacterium. Its description in RNAcentral is "partial 16S ribosomal RNA". It matches the Rfam family "Bacterial small subunit ribosomal RNA", at positions 338 to 795 of the family's 1533-position model. The record is from RNAcentral.
CCUACGGGAGGCAGCAGUGAGGAAUAUUGGUCAAUGGACGCAAGUCUGAACCAGCCAUGCCGCGUGCAGGAAGACGGCUCUAUGAGUUGUAAACUGCUUUUGUACGAGGGUAAACGCAGAUACGCGUAUCUGUCUGAAAGUAUCGUACGAAUAAGGAUCGGCUAACUCCGUGCCAGCAGCCGCGGUAAUACGGAGGAUUCAAGCGUUAUCCGGAUUUAUUGGGUUUAAAGGGUGCGUAGGCGGUCGGAUAAGUUAGAGGUGAAAUCCCGAGGCUCAACUUCGGACUUGCCUCUGAUACUGUUCGGCUAGAGAGUAGGUGCGGUAGGCGGAAUGUAUGGUGUAGCGGUGAAAUGCUUAGAGAUCAUACAGAACACCGAUUGCGAAGGCAGCUUACCAAGCUACUUCUGACGUUGAGGCACGAAAGCGUGGGGAGCGAACAGGAUUAGAUACCCGAGUAGUC